UUCUUUUCUGGGUUUCCAAGCAUGGAAGCACAUUUUUUCAGUCCUCUUUUGUUUAGCUCCAUCCUAUUUCUUACCACAUGCUAUAUGUUGAUUAAUCCUAUAUGUUUUCUUGUGCAGGGUGCUCAAGGGGUUCGGCCAAGUCGGAUGCCAGGCGGUGCGCGCAGCCGAGGAGCACUGGCAGCAGGCGCUUGAUGCGACGCUCCCCGCGUCGCCGCCGCUCAUUCGCGGCUCCUCCUCCUCCCCAACGGAUCGCGACUGAACCUUCCUUAUGCCAGCACCUCGUGGCCAUGAAGGGUGGCUGAGCCAUCAAGAGCGGCGGCGGUGUCCUGCCGCGGACGCUGCUGCGGCUCCCUCCUCUUCCUCGCCGGCUUCUACCUGCUUUGUGCCGACGCCAUGUACAUCAUGUCCUCCCGGUGCUUCUGCUUUCCCGGGUCGCAACUCUUUGGUGUGCUCGACAAGAUGUGCAUGAAGAAAAGGGCCACUGGAUUGUACAGGAAGAACGGGAUGUUGUUCUCUGCUGCUCGACCACAUUGCCCCUGAACCAUUUCUCUUGCCAGUCCUUCAAAGUCCCUCAAAAAGUCAGCGGAUUCUCGCCCUUUGGGUUUGCUUAGCCAUACUAUGAAGAUGCUCUAUUCAACUUGGCCUUUGUGUGAUGAACAUCAAAUCAUUGAUGCAUUUGUAUCUCCUUUGGCUGGAUACAGAGUUCCAUAUUCCGAGAAGAAGGGCUUAAAUGAUGUAUGUGGAUAAUUGAAGGGCAGCAUUAAUAGGUAACCUGCAAUUAUUGUAUUUUUAGGCAAGAUAGGAUAUUUAUUCUUAAUGCUUACAGAUUGCUGGUACCACAUGGAUCAUAUUUAUU
Non-coding RNA from Aegilops tauschii subsp. strangulata, 856 nucleotides. Lineage: Eukaryota; Viridiplantae; Streptophyta; Magnoliopsida; Poales; Poaceae. The record is from RefSeq and is a predicted model, not a curated record.